RNAcentral lists this ribosomal RNA (449 nucleotides) under uncultured bacterium. Its description in RNAcentral is "partial 16S ribosomal RNA". It matches the Rfam family "Bacterial small subunit ribosomal RNA", at positions 29 to 523 of the family's 1533-position model. The record is from RNAcentral.
AACGAACGCUGGCGGCAUGCCUAACACAUGCAAGUCGAACGAGACCUUCGGGUCCAGUGGCGCACGGGUGCGUAACGCGUGGGAAUCUGCCCUUGGGUUCGGAAUAACUCAGAGAAAUUUGAGCUAAUACCGGAUGAUGACGUAAGUCCUAAGAUUUAUCGCCCAAGGAUGGGCCCGCGUAAGAUUAGCUAGAUGGUGGGGUAAAGGCCUACCAAGGCGACGAUCUUAAUCUGGUCUGAGAGGAUGAUCAGCCACACGGGGACUGAGACACGGCUCAGAGUCCUCCGGAAGGCAGAAGUGGUGAAUAUUGGACAAUGUGCGAAGGCCUGAUCCAGAAAUGCCGCGUGAGUGAUGAAGGCCUUAGGGUUGUAAAGCUCUUUUACCAGGGAUGAUAAUGACAGUACCUGAAGAAUAAGCAACGGCUAACUACGUGCCAGCAGCCGCGGUAA